RNAcentral lists this long non-coding RNA (1847 nucleotides) under Gossypium barbadense (sea-island cotton). Its description in RNAcentral is "long non-coding RNA (GBAR_LNC007039)". The record is from RNAcentral. Lineage: Eukaryota; Viridiplantae; Streptophyta; Magnoliopsida; Malvales; Malvaceae.
UCAUUUUUAGCCCUAGUAUUUUUAAAAAAAUAGUAGAGAUCUCUUCUUGCUCUCUCUCCCUUUUCUUGCGGCUAGGGUUUUGAAACCCCUCAUCGCCGUUGUUGCCACGGUGCCACCACAAGCGGUGGUAAGGGCGGUGCGAGCUGGCCUACCCUGAGGUGUCCCCGAAGGCCAAGCCUUCUUAACCCAAAAGUUGCGAAAGAAAGGUCUUCCCCUCCUUAGUCGGUCCGAUCCCGGUGACGGAGGAGAGCCCUCCGUGAAGAAAUCACGAGCGAUUCCGGUGAGACCUUCUUCCUUUUUAUUAUUUUUUUUCGUGCACACUUUUUAAAUGGAUUUGUAGUAAAAAUAAAAUGAAAGGAAAAUAAAAAAAACGAAUAGAAAACAAGAAUAAGAAUCGAAAUCAACCUUAAACUUUGUUCUGCUCUUUUGAUUAAAAUGUAUGCGUAAAAAAAUACAAAUAACAUAUUUUCGCUUUUAAAGCAGAUCUACAAUCCGUUGGCCUUUUGUUUUUACUUUUUGCUAUUUACUCAUCUGCUUCUCGCGUGCUUUCUUUGCUGCUAUUUUUGAUUUGGUUGCAGGUGUUGCGCGACGAAUGGAAGAGGUGGCGUGUGGUGCGAUGAAACGGCGCGCGUUGGUGGCCAUGCUGGUGGGGAGCGGCGGCUGAAGGCUUGGUGGCUAGGGUUUGCUGAAAAUUUUAUUUGUGUUGUGGGCUUGGACUAUUAGGGUUUGUAAAUUAGGUUUGGGUAUUGUCUUAUUUGGGCCAUUUUAAUAUAUAAAGGGACUGUUAAUAAACAUUUGGAUUUUCACCCAUUUUUGGUUUAUUUUGUUUUUAAAACAUGGGUCAAAAUUGGCUAUUACACCACUCAAUAGAAAAUCCCUCAUAGAUUGUCCUUGCCUCGAUUUAAAAAACUCUUGAUUUACAAUUGUCAUUGCAAAGCCAAGUAACUAGCCUCCAACUUGAUUUUGAAACACUCCCCCUACUGCAACAUAGGAUUUUUUUAAAAGAGAUGCGAUCCUCAGUGUUAUUUUUCACCCAACCUAUCAAUGGUGGUUGCCAGACACUUUUUGUAUGUAUAUUGUUGUGAAGACUAACUGCAUUUUUGGUAUAAGUAAAGUUUCUAGUCCAAGUUAUACUAGUGGCAAUCAAGGUAGCACUGCUAUAGCAUGUAUCUUUAAAAACAAGAUCAUCCCUGUGCUUCCAUAUUAGCCAAUAAACAGUUGAAAACAGAGUUUUCGAUUCUCCAUAAACAACUGUGAGUCCAUAAGAAUUGCACAUAUUUGCAUUAAGCUAGACUUCCAAGGAAGAAGAGAAAUAUGAAUGCCAAACAUUUUGAUUUACCAAUGAUUUCCAAAUGCCAGUCGCAUAUAGACAGUCUCUAAUAGCAUGUAGAGUUGUUUCAAUAAAACCACCACAGUAUGCACAAUGGUCAUCUCCUGUCAUUCCCCUCUUAACUUGUAUCUCACUAGUAAGUAGUCAAUUUUGUAGCAAUAGCCAAAGAAAGGUUUUCACCCUCUAUGGAGUAGGUCUCUUCCAAACACUUGAAAGAACCCUGUAGUUUGCUAGCUCUCUUUGCUCCAUAAAGUGACUAUAGGUUUCAGCUGAAAAGAAAACACCUUUCGACAUCCACCUCCAAGCCAAGCAAUCGAGGGCAAAUUCUAUGGCUAGUGGCAUAAUUGUAGCAAUGCGAACGAUGACAUUCCUUGGUAGCUUAGUUUCAAGCAAACUCCAAUCCCAUGAGCCAGUGUCAGUCACCACAUCACAAACUCUCAGAGUUUCAUCAAUACAACCCCUGCCUAUAUAAAAAGAUUUUAGAGGGCCUACACUCUCCACCCAGAAAUUAUUCCAG